RNAcentral lists this ribosomal RNA (1271 nucleotides) under uncultured fungus. RNAcentral's name for it is "SSU rRNA". It matches the Rfam family "Eukaryotic small subunit ribosomal RNA", at positions 374 to 1671 of the family's 1831-position model. Lineage: Eukaryota; Fungi. The record is from RNAcentral.
GGUUCGAUUCCGGAGAGAGGGCCUGAGAAACGGCCCUCAGGUCUAAGGACACGCGGCAGGCGCGCAAAUUAUCCCCUGGCAACACUUUGCCGAGAUAGUGACAAUAAAUAACAAUGCAGGGCUCUUACGGGUCUUGCAAUUGGAAUGAGUACAAUUUAAAUCCCUUAACGAGGAUCAAUUGGAGGGCAAGUCUGGUGCCAGCAGCCGCGGUAAUUCCAGCUCCAAUAGCGUAUAUUAAAGUUGUUGCCGUUAAAAAGCUCGUAGUCGAACUUCGGGUCCUGUCCGCCGGUCCGCCUUCUUGGUGUGUACUUGUUGGAUGGGACCUUACCUCCUGGUGAACGGCGAUGUCCUUUACUGGGUGUCGUCGCAAACCAGGACGUUUACUUUGAAAAAAUUAGAGUGUUCAAAGCAGGCCUUUGCCCGAAUACAUUAGCAUGGAAUAAUAGAAUAGGACGCGCGUUCCCAUUUUGUUGGUUUCUGAGAUCGCCGUAAUGAUUAAUAGGGAUAGUUGGGGGCAUUUGUAUUCCGACGUCAGAGGUGAAAUUCUUGGAUUGCCGGAAGACAAACUACUGCGAAAGCAUUUGCCAAGGAUGUUUUCAUUGAUCAAGAACGAAGGAAGGGGGAUCGAAAACGAUUAGAUACCGUUGUAGUCUCUUCUGUAAACUAUGCCAAUUGGGGAUCGGCACAGGAUUUUUAAUGACUGUGUCGGCACCCGAAGAGAAAUCUUUAAAUGAGGUUCGGGGGGGAGUAUGGUCGCAAGGCUGAAACUUAAAGGAAUUGACGGAAGGGCACCACCAGGUGUGGAGCCUGCGGCUUAAUUUGACUCAACACGGGGAAACUCACCAGGUCCAGACACAAUAAGGAUUGACAGAUUGAUAGCUCUUUCUUGAUCUUGUGGUUGGUGGUGCAUGGCCGUUCUUAGUUGGUGGAGUGAUUUGUCUGGUUAAUUCCGAUAACGAACGAGACCUUAACCUGCUAAAUAGACCAGCCGGCUUUGGCUAGCUGCUGUCUUCUUAGAGGGACUAUCAGCGUUUAGCUGAUGGAAGUUUGAGGCAAUAACAGGUCUGUGAUGCCCUUAGAUGUUCUGGGCCGCACGCGCGCUACACUGACAGAGCCAGCGAGUCUACCACCUUUGCCGGAAGGCAUGGGUAAUCUUGUGAAACUCUGUCGUGAUGGGGAUAGAACAUUGCAAUUAUUGUUCUUCAACCGAGNAANACCUAGUAAGCGUGAUUCAUCAGAUCGCGUUGAUUACGUCCCUGCCCUUNACCCCC